UACGUAGGGGGCUAGCGUUGUCCGGAUUUAUUGGGCGUAAAGAGCGUGUAGGCGGCCAGGUAGGUCCGCUGUGAAAGUCCGAGGCUCAACCUCGGAAUGUCGGCGGAAACCCUCUGGCUAGAGUCCGGAAGAGGAGAGUGGAACUCCUGGUGUAGCGGUGAAAUGCGCAGAUAUCAGGAAGAACACCAAUGGCGAAGGCAGCUCACUGGGACGGUACUGACGCUGAGACGCGAAAGCGUGGGGAGCAAACAGG
Molecule: ribosomal RNA, 253 nt
Filed under: uncultured bacterium
Lineage: Bacteria
Description: partial 16S ribosomal RNA
Rfam family: Bacterial small subunit ribosomal RNA
Source: RNAcentral